GCCCGAGUAGCUCAGAUGGUAGAGCGGAGGACUGAAAAUCCUUGUGUCGGUGGUUCGAUUCCGCCCUCGGGCACCA
RNAcentral lists this transfer RNA (76 nucleotides) under Alphaproteobacteria bacterium. Its description in RNAcentral is "tRNA-Phe". It matches the Rfam family "tRNA". From Rfam's summary of the family: Transfer RNA (tRNA) molecules are approximately 80 nucleotides in length. The record is from RNAcentral. Lineage: Bacteria; Pseudomonadati; Pseudomonadota; Alphaproteobacteria.